GAUGAACGCUGGCGGCGUGCCUAAUACAUGCAAGUCGAGCGAACAGACGAGGAGCUUGCGCCUCUGACGUUAGCGGCGGACGGGUGAGUAACACGUGGAUAACCUACCUAUAAGACUGGGAUAACUUCGGGAAACCGGAGCUAAUACCGGAGAACAUGUUGAACCGCAUGGGUCAACAGUGAAAGACGGUCUUGCGGGCACUUAUAGAUGGAUCCGCGCCGCAUUAGCUAGUUGGUAAGGUAACGGCGUACCAAGGCAACGAUGCGUAGGCGACCUGAUAGGGUGAUCGCCCACCCUGGAGCUGAGACACCGUCAAGGGUCCUACGGGAGGCAGCAGUCGGCAAUGGUACGCAGUAGGCGAAAGCCUUACGGAGUAAGGCCGCGCGAGUGACGACGGUCUCCCGUUCGUAAUACCCUGUUUCUAGUGAAGAACAACUUUGUACGGUACUAUGCCCGUCUUGACGGUAACUAGUAAGAAAGCCCCGGCUAACUACGUG
RNAcentral lists this ribosomal RNA (497 nucleotides) under uncultured bacterium. RNAcentral's name for it is "partial 16S ribosomal RNA". It matches the Rfam family "Bacterial small subunit ribosomal RNA", at positions 28 to 507 of the family's 1533-position model. The record is from RNAcentral.